CGGACGGGUGAGUAACACGUGGGUAACCUGCCCAUAAGACUGGGAUAACUCCGGGAAACCGGGGCCAAUACCGGAUAAUAUUUUGAACUGCAUGGUUCGAAAUUGAAAGGCGGCUUCGGCUGUCACUUAUGGAUGGACCCGCGUCGCAUUAGCUAGUUGGUGAGGUAACGGCUCACCAAGGCAACGAUGCGUAGCCGACCUGAGAGGGUGAUCGGCCACACUGGGACUGAGACACGGCCCAG
This 242-nucleotide ribosomal RNA is filed under the name uncultured Bacillus sp. RNAcentral's name for it is "partial 16S ribosomal RNA". It matches the Rfam family "Bacterial small subunit ribosomal RNA", at positions 99 to 334 of the family's 1533-position model. Lineage: Bacteria; Bacillati; Bacillota; Bacilli; Caryophanales; Bacillaceae. The record is from RNAcentral.